Molecule: ribosomal RNA, 280 nt
Filed under: uncultured bacterium
Lineage: Bacteria
Description: partial 16S ribosomal RNA
Rfam family: Bacterial small subunit ribosomal RNA
Source: RNAcentral
CCUGCCGUUGCCGGCGACCGGCGCACGGGUGAGUAACACGUAUGCAACCUGCCCGUGGCAGGGGGAUAAGCGGGGGAAACCCCGUCUAAUACCGCGUAACGCGGCCUAGGGACAUCCCAAGGCCGCCAAAGGGAGCAAUCCCGGCCACGGAUGGGCAUGCGGCGCAUUAGCUAGUCGGCGGGGUAACGGCCCACCGAGGCGACGAUGCGUAGGGGUUCUGAGAGGAAGGCCCCCCACACUGGUACUGAGACACGGACCAGACUCCUACGGAAGGCAGCAG